Molecule: ribosomal RNA, 2755 nt
Filed under: Klebsiella pneumoniae
Lineage: Bacteria; Pseudomonadati; Pseudomonadota; Gammaproteobacteria; Enterobacterales; Enterobacteriaceae
Description: bacterial LSU rRNA
Rfam family: Bacterial large subunit ribosomal RNA
Source: RNAcentral
ACUAUCGUUAACUGAAUACAUAGGUUAACGAGGCGAACCGGGGGAACUGAAACAUCUAAGUACCCCGAGGAAAAGAAAUCAACCGAGAUUCCCCCAGUAGCGGCGAGCGAACGGGGAGCAGCCCAGAGUCUGAAUCAGCUUGUGUGUUAGUGGAACGGUCUGGAAAGUCCGACGGUACAGGGUGAUAGUCCCGUACACCAAAAUGCACAGGUUGUGAACUCGAAGAGUAGGGCGGGACACGUGGUAUCCUGUCUGAAUAUGGGGGGACCAUCCUCCAAGGCUAAAUACUCCUGACUGACCGAUAGUGAACCAGUACCGUGAGGGAAAGGCGAAAAGAACCCCGGCGAGGGGAGUGAAAAAGAACCUGAAACCGUGUACGUACAAGCAGUGGGAGCACCUUCGGGUGUGACUGCGUACCUUUUGUAUAAUGGGUCAGCGACUUAUAUUCUGUAGCAAGGUUAACCGUAUAGGGGAGCCGCAGGGAAACCGAGUCUUAACUGGGCGUUAAGUUGCAGGGUAUAGACCCGAAACCCGGUGAUCUAGCCAUGGGCAGGUUGAAGGUUGGGUAACACUAACUGGAGGACCGAACCGACUAAUGUUGAAAAAUUAGCGGAUGACUUGUGGCUGGGGGUGAAAGGCCAAUCAAACCGGGAGAUAGCUGGUUCUCCCCGAAAGCUAUUUAGGUAGCGCCUCGUGAACUCAUCUUCGGGGGUAGAGCACUGUUUCGGCUAGGGGGUCAUCCCGACUUACCAACCCGAUGCAAACUACGAAUACCGAAGAAUGUUAUCACGGGAGACACACGGCGGGUGCUAACGUCCGUCGUGAAGAGGGAAACAACCCAGACCGCCAGCUAAGGUCCCAAAGUCAUGGUUAAGUGGGAAACGAUGUGGGAAGGCACAGACAGCCAGGAUGUUGGCUUAGAAGCAGCCAUCAUUUAAAGAAAGCGUAAUAGCUCACUGGUCGAGUCGGCCUGCGCGGAAGAUGUAACGGGGCUAAACCAUGCACCGAAGCUGCGGCAGCGACACUAUGUGUUGUUGGGUAGGGGAGCGUUCUGUAAGCCUGCGAAGGUGACCUGUGAGGGUUGCUGGAGGUAUCAGAAGUGCGAAUGCUGACAUAAGUAACGAUAAAGCGGGUGAAAAGCCCGCUCGCCGGAAGACCAAGGGUUCCUGUCCAACGUUAAUCGGGGCAGGGUGAGUCGACCCCUAAGGCGAGGCCGAAAGGCGUAGUCGAUGGGAAACAGGUUAAUAUUCCUGUACUUGGUGUUACUGCGAAGGGGGGACGGAGAAGGCUAUGUUAGCCGGGCGACGGUUGUCCCGGUUUAAGCAUGUAGGCUGAUUGUCCAGGCAAAUCCGGAUAAUCAAGGCUGAGGUGUGAUGACGAGGCACUACGGUGCUGAAGUAACAAAUGCCCUGCUUCCAGGAAAAGCCUCUAAGCAUCAGGUAACAUCAAAUCGUACCCCAAACCGACACAGGUGGUCAGGUAGAGAAUACCAAGGCGCUUGAGAGAACUCGGGUGAAGGAACUAGGCAAAAUGGUGCCGUAACUUCGGGAGAAGGCACGCUGGUGUGUAGGUGAAGUCCCUGCGGAUGGAGCUGAGACCAGUCGAAGAUACCAGCUGGCUGCAACUGUUUAUUAAAAACACAGCACUGUGCAAACACGAAAGUGGACGUAUACGGUGUGACGCCUGCCCGGUGCCGGAAGGUUAAUUGAUGGGGUUAUCCGUAAGGAGAAGCUCUUGAUCGAAGCCCCGGUAAACGGCGGCCGUAACUAUAACGGUCCUAAGGUAGCGAAAUUCCUUGUCGGGUAAGUUCCGACCUGCACGAAUGGCGUAAUGAUGGCCAGGCUGUCUCCACCCGAGACUCAGUGAAAUUGAACUCGCUGUGAAGAUGCAGUGUACCCGCGGCAAGACGGAAAGACCCCGUGAACCUUUACUAUAGCUUGACACUGAACAUUGAGCCUUGAUGUGUAGGAUAGGUGGGAGGCUUUGAAGCGUGGACGCCAGUCUGCGUGGAGCCAACCUUGAAAUACCACCCUUUAAUGUUUGAUGUUCUAACGUUGGCCCCUUACCGGGGUUGCGGACAGUGUCUGGUGGGUAGUUUGACUGGGGCGGUCUCCUCCCAAAGCGUAACGGAGGAGCACGAAGGUUAGCUAAUCCUGGUCGGACAUCAGGAGGUUAGUGCAAUGGCAUAAGCUAGCUUGACUGCGAGCGUGACGGCGCGAGCAGGUGCGAAAGCAGGUCAUAGUGAUCCGGUGGUUCUGAAUGGAAGGGCCAUCGCUCAACGGAUAAAAGGUACUCCGGGGAUAACAGGCUGAUACCGCCCAAGAGUUCAUAUCGACGGCGGUGUUUGGCACCUCGAUGUCGGCUCAUCACAUCCUGGGGCUGAAGUAGGUCCCAAGGGUAUGGCUGUUCGCCAUUUAAAGUGGUACGCGAGCUGGGUUUAGAACGUCGUGAGACAGUUCGGUCCCUAUCUGCCGUGGGCGCUGGAGAAUUGAGGGGGGCUGCUCCUAGUACGAGAGGACCGGAGUGGACGCAUCACUGGUGUUCGGGUUGUCAUGCCAAUGGCACUGCCCGGUAGCUAAAUGCGGAAGAGAUAAGUGCUGAAAGCAUCUAAGCACGAAACUUGCCCCGAGAUGAGUUCUCCCUGAGACUUUAAGUCUCCUGAAGGAACGUUGAAGACGACGACGUUGAUAGGCCGGGUGUGUAAGCGCAGCGAUGCGUUGAGCUAACCGGUACUAAUGAACCGUGAGGCUUAACC